UUCUCUGCAAAAAUUAAAAUACUAGUUACGUACUUAAAAAUACCCCAAAAACUAAAAAUUAAUGUUGAAAACCUUUUUCGAAACAAUUUUAGGGUUCUGGCAUGACACCAUCGCUGUGCUCCGGCACUGUCUCCGCCACCCACGGCGGCAAUUCACCUAGACUUCGCCAGUUUUGACUAGUGUUACAUGUAUCUUUGUGAAAAAAUACAUUAGGAAGCAUUGAUUAGCCAGAAGAAUCAAAAAACCAAACCUACUGCGGGGUUCUCGGGGUGCGACGGCUCCACCAGUUCUCCUUCGCGGCUGAGGUUUCUUCUUCGGCUAGCCUGCAUAGAAAAGGACGAUGAACACAAUGGUCAAAGAAUCGUGUGAAACAGGAAAGGGAAAGGGAGUCAUCAGAGAGGGUUUUGGGUUUUGGCUGUGGCGGCUCCGCCGAACUUUACCCAUAAUUUUCAGCUCACCCACCAUCCAUUUUGCUCCAAUAUGGCCACAGGGAGUCUCUGAAUUGAAUUCUAAGCAGAGAUGAGAAAAUUUUACCUUUUUUGGUAGUCGGCGGUAGCUCCGAUGCAAUGGCAGCUGGGGUUCGACCUUCUUCUCCAAUGUCUGGUUAUUCUUAUUUGGCGAGGGCUGGUGACUAGAGUUAGGUUCUUCUGCGAAAAGAGGUUUAAAUACUCAUUUCCUCUUCAAUCCAAGCCGUCCGUUUAGGUUGACAUAGGGCAAGGAGGACCAUUCGAUGAUUUUCUGUUUAGGCUAAUAGUGUGAGCGAAUUCGGACCGUCCAUCACGAUCCAUCUCGUCCGUUUGAUCGCGUGUAAAAAAAAUGCAUCUUUAUUAUUCAUGCGCGCGGGAUGAAGUCUGGACCAUCAGAUCACCAGACAUGCGGAUCGCUCGCGUGGCUUCCCACGUGGUGCCGAUGUCGGUCUACCUGCUACGCGACGUGCUCUAUUUCGCUCGGAUUGCUAACUGAGUCGUCCCACGUAGGCGAAUUUUUUAUUUAUGUUAUUUUACUCCCUGUUUUCAAUUUUCUUUAAAAA
Molecule: long non-coding RNA, 1030 nt
Filed under: Carica papaya (papaya)
Lineage: Eukaryota; Viridiplantae; Streptophyta; Magnoliopsida; Brassicales; Caricaceae
Description: long non-coding RNA (CPAP_LNC006934)
Source: RNAcentral